GGUGUGAGUAAAAAGGCUUCGAAAAUGAUGUCAUUCGCGUAACAUUAGGCUGCAAAUCAAUAUGAUUUCGGAAAUGCAGGAAAAUACAAAGAACUGAACGCUCUGCAACCUUGACUUCGAAGGAAAAGAAGAAGAAGAAAAAAGGAAUUUUUCCUUUUACGCUAAGUCUCAAAUUCUAGCCAUGAAGAGACGAUCUCCAACAUCCUCCGCUAAAGUUGCCAGGGGUCCAUUAUGCCGUGUAACAAUGCCAGCCGUGCCAGCGGGGUCAAGCAAACGACAAUGCCGAGGAGAAGUCUUGAUGGAAUAACGUAUACAGAUUCCAGCUAUGACUAGAACACUGACAUCUAUCUUACCUGUGCCCAUGAAGAGUUCUCUGUAGAAUGGCAGCUUAAAGUGACACUCCAGAGUCAAGAGGUAAGGUGUGAGUCCUUUAAAUACCUGUAGGA
Long non-coding RNA from Macrobrachium nipponense, 446 nucleotides. RefSeq lists it as uncharacterized. The transcript has 3 exons. NCBI's taxonomy places the organism in Eukaryota, Metazoa, Arthropoda, Malacostraca, Decapoda, Palaemonidae. The record is from RefSeq and is a predicted model, not a curated record.